Molecule: long non-coding RNA, 1270 nt
Organism: Symphalangus syndactylus (siamang)
Lineage: Eukaryota; Metazoa; Chordata; Mammalia; Primates; Hylobatidae
Source: RefSeq, a predicted model, not a curated record
AUUUUGGACUUUUCAACUAUCUCUUUGGGCUCACUGCUGACAGAGGGAAGCAAAAAGUUUCCAAGCAGACAGAAUGUCACUCUGUCACCCAGGCUGGAGUGCAGUGGCGCUGUCUCAGCUCACUGCGACCCCCACCUCCUGGGUUCAGGCAAUUCACCUGCCUCAGCCUCCCGAGUAGCUGGGACUACAGCCAUGUGCCACCAUGCCCUGCUAAUUUUUGUCUUUUCAGUAGAGAUGGGGGUUUCACCACACUGGCCAGGAUGGUCUUAAACUCCUGACCUCAAGUGAUCCACCCACCUCGGCCUCCCAAAGUGCUGGGAUUACAGAUGUGAGCCGUUGCACCAGGCCCCUCACCCAUUUUCCUAAGGUAAUAGUUCCCUUCAAAAAUUAAAACAUUUUGGAUUUUGUUAUUUUUUAGAAUCAUGAAAACGGUCUUGAAUAUACGAUGUCUGAAAAUUGCUAUUAACUCAAAAUAGUAUAUAAACCUAGGAAAUUAUUAACAUAUAUUGGCAUUUACUAAUGAUCCUGGUAGAGUCAGAUAACAGCAUAUUAGAAGCCACAGUACGGGGAUAAUUCACAAUACACUGCUAGGUAUAAUGAGUGUCCACACCCCAACCCCCUUUUCUUAGUAUAUUAAGAUUUAAAAUUGGUAAUAUUCACUGUUAUUGAGGAUACUGGAACAAAAACAUUUACAUACACUCCUAACUGGAGUGUAAAUUGUGUAACCCAGUGGUUCUUAAAAGGAGGCAAUUUUGCUUCUUAGGGGACAUUUAGCAACAUCUGGAGACAUUUUUGAUUGUCACAACUUGGGGAGAGGGGUGCUACUGGAAUCUUUUGGGUACAGGCCAGGGAUGCCACUAAACGUAAGCCCCACACAACAAACAGUUAUCUGGCCCCAAAGGUCAAUAAUGCUGAGGCUGAGAAACUCUGGUGUAACCCUUGACUCAGCAAUCCCACUUCUAGGUGCCUAAGGAAACAAAUCUUUUUACAGAGCUCCACACAUAAGGAAGUUAAAACAUUUUAUUUGUACUAGUGAAAACAGACCUAAAUACCUAACGAUAGUAGAUUAGUUGGCUAAAUCAUGGCACAUCCAUAUGGAGUCAUGAAAAAUCAUGUUUUAGAUUAUUUAAUGACAAAAACGAUUUAUGACACAUUACCAAGUAGGAAAAACUUACCAACAUAAUGAACAGUAUAAUUCCAUUUUCAUUGUUAUAUGUGUUGAGUAUAUAUGUAACUACAUAUGAAUAAAUAUGAGCUAUAUACACAUAAA